CCUACGGUGGGCAGCAGUGAGGAAUAUUGGUCAAUGGACGAGAGUCUGAACCAGCCAAGUAGCGUGAAGGAUGACUGCCCUAUGGGUUGUAAACUUCUUUUAUAAAGGAAUAAAACGAGGCACGUGUGCCUUUUUGCAUGUACUUUAUGAAUAAGGAUCGGCUAACUCCGUGCCAGCAGCCGCGGUAAUACGGAGGAUCCGAGCGUUAUCCGGAUUUAUUGGGUUUAAAGGGAGCGUAGAUGGGUUGUUAAGUCAGUUGUGAAAGUUUGCGGCUCAACCGUAAAAUUGCAAUUGAUACUGGCAGUCUUGAGUACAGUUGAGGUAGGCGGAAUUCGGGGUGUAGCGGUGAAAUGCUUAGAUAUUGCGCAGAACUCCGAUUGCGAAGGCAGCAUACCGGCGGCGAUCUGACGCUGAGGCACGAAAGCGUGGGUAUCAAACAGGAUUAGAUACCCUUAGUC
This 458-nucleotide ribosomal RNA is filed under the name uncultured bacterium. RNAcentral describes it as "partial 16S ribosomal RNA". It matches the Rfam family "Bacterial small subunit ribosomal RNA", at positions 338 to 795 of the family's 1533-position model. The record is from RNAcentral.